This 75-nucleotide transfer RNA is filed under the name Clostridium rhizosphaerae. RNAcentral's name for it is "tRNA-Glu". It matches the Rfam family "tRNA". From Rfam's summary of the family: Transfer RNA (tRNA) molecules are approximately 80 nucleotides in length. Their secondary structure includes four short double-helical elements and three loops (D, anti-codon, and T loops). The record is from RNAcentral. Lineage: Bacteria; Bacillati; Bacillota; Clostridia; Eubacteriales; Clostridiaceae. RNAcentral also lists the same sequence under 2 other names.
GGCUCCUUGGUCAAGCGGUUAAGACACCACCCUCUCAAGGUGGUAUCAGGGGUUCGAUUCCCCUAGGAGUCACCA